This 403-nucleotide unclassified non-coding RNA is filed under the name Dermacentor andersoni. RNAcentral's name for it is "uncharacterized LOC126532401". The record is from RNAcentral. Lineage: Eukaryota; Metazoa; Arthropoda; Arachnida; Ixodida; Ixodidae.
UCCGUCGUCUAACGUGAAGGAAAGACACGCACCCACCAUGAGGACUCUGCUGGCCGUUGGUUUUAUCCUUUGCCUCGCCGUCUCAACUGUCCUCGCCGGUGGUUUCGGCGGAGGCUUGGGACGAGGCAUUGGUUUGGGCCACGGUGGUGGCCUCGGAUACGGAGGUGGCCUUGGUGGUGGCUACGGCGGCGGCCUUGGCAGCGGUCUUGGCGGCGGAUACGGUGGCGGCUACGGUGGCUCUUACGCUGGUUCCUACGCUGGAAAUUACGGAGGAGUGCAUGGCGGUCACUUCGGUUGAUAUGGCCUAAGGGUACGUUAUAACUUCGCUGCGAAAGACAACACAAGGAAAAGACAGUCAAAGUGUACAAAACAUGUAUUUAGAUCAGAAUAAAUAACUUCCACC